RNAcentral lists this ribosomal RNA (479 nucleotides) under uncultured bacterium. Its description in RNAcentral is "partial 16S ribosomal RNA". It matches the Rfam family "Bacterial small subunit ribosomal RNA", at positions 28 to 507 of the family's 1533-position model. The record is from RNAcentral.
GACGAACGCUGGCGGCGUGCUUAACACAUGCAAGUCGAACGAAGCUUGAUUACGGAUUCUUCGGAUGAAGUAUGAUAUGACUGAGUGGCGGACGGGUGAGUAACGCGUGAGUAACCUGCCCUUCAGAGGGGGAUAGCGUUUGGAAACGAACGGUAAUACCGCAUAAUGUAUUUUGACCGCAUGAUCGAAAUACCAAAGAUUUAUCGCUGAAGGAUGGACUCGCGUCUGAUUAGGUAGUUGGUGGGGUAACGGCCUACCAAGCCGACGAUCAGUAGCCGGACUGGGAGGUUGAUCGGCCACAUAGGGACUGAGACACGGCCCAGACUCCUACGGGAGGCAGCAGUGGGGAAUAUUGCACAAUGGGCGCAAGCCUGAUGCAGCAACGCCGCGUGAAGGAAGACGGUUUUCGGAUUGUAAACUUCUGCUCUUAGUGAAGAAUAAUGACGGUAGCUAAGGAGCAAGCCACGGCUAACUACGUG